GCCUGAUGCAGCGACGCCGCGUGAGGGAUGAAGGCCUUCGGGUUGUAAACCUCUUUCAGCAGGGACGAAGCGAAAGUGACGGUACCUGCAGAAGAAGCACCGGCUAACUACGUGCCAGCAGCCGCGGUAAUACGUAGGGUGCGAGCGUUGUCCGGAAUUACUGGGCGUAAAGAGUUCGUAGGCGGUUUGUCACGUCGUCUGUGAAAACCCAUCGCUCAACGAUGGGCCUGCAGGCGAUACGGGCAGACUUGAGUACUGCAGGGGAGACUGGAAUUCCUGGUGUAGCGGUGAAAUGCGCAGAUAUCAGGAGGAACACCGGUGGCGAAGGCGGGUCUCUGGGCAGUAACUGACGCUGAGGAACGAAAGCGUGGGUAGCAAACAGGAUUAGAUACCCUGGUAGUCCACGCCGUAAACGGUGGGCGCUAGGUGUGGGUUCCUUCCACGGGAUCUGUGCCGUAGCUAACGCAUUAAGCGCCCCGCCUGGGGAGUACGGCCGCAAGGCUAAAACUCAAAGGAAUUGACGGGGGCCCGCACAAGCGGCGGAGCAUGUGGAUUAAUUCGAUGCAACGCGAAGAACCUUACCUGGGUUUGACAUAUACUGGAAAGCUGCAGAGAUGUAGCCCCCCUUGUGGCCGG
RNAcentral lists this ribosomal RNA (636 nucleotides) under Rhodococcus sp. So3Pw_1414. Its description in RNAcentral is "bacterial SSU rRNA". It matches the Rfam family "Bacterial small subunit ribosomal RNA", at positions 381 to 1030 of the family's 1533-position model. Lineage: Bacteria; Bacillati; Actinomycetota; Actinomycetes; Mycobacteriales; Nocardiaceae. The record is from RNAcentral.